UCUCAAGCUGAGCCAUCCUUCGGCCCUAUCCCCACCUGCCUUCUCUUGCUCCUCCCUCGCCUCCUGAGUCGUUCCAGGCCAGAAGCAGACUCGCUGCACACUUGGCUGCUGCCCUGCGAGCACCCAGAGCUGCUUCAAGGAGAUGUACCUUUGCGGGGCACAGGAUCCCACCCCCCUAAGGCCCUGUCCGUCCUGCUCCCUGCCUCCUAGCCCUACCUCAUCCCAAGUCCGCAGCGCGGGCCCAGCGGUUGGGCCGUCCCUCCCUCUCUCCACUCCUUUUCUCCCUAGGAAACCGCUGAGCACAAAGGCAGCAUUGAUUCUCCACCACCCGUGAGGGGACUCUGGGAGGCCCGGCCGCCCCCGCGCGCUGCUUACCGCACCCUCUCGCCCGCACCUGGGGGAGCGCGAUGUUCCGACCUUCUGCUUGGGAGUCUGAGCCCACCGCAGCGGCUCCGUCGGCACCUGGAGGGCAGGCCUCACCUGCGGGCCGCCUCUGGGUCCUGGCCUCUGGCCAGGAGGCGUUCAGAACCGGAGGGGAACAGCUUCCUACCCCAGCCCAGUCCUUCUGGGAGGAGUUGGCAGGGGCCUCCGUUGCGUUGCCUACGUACGACCUCUUUUCCUGGAUAAACACAGCUCUGUCUCUGCAGCCAUCAGGCCGGCCUUCUUAACUCCUUCCUUCAGGUUUCCAGCAGAAAGCCAGCCCUGCGCCCCUGAGGUUUUCUCUGCUGGGCCCAGGCCGCUGGGGAGUUGGGGAAGGGCUGCAGCGAAAAGGGUGACAGCCCUUUAGGGAGCAGUGGCCUCCAUCUUUCUGUGCUACACUGGCCCCACCCCAGCCCUCCUAGGUGAAGCCCACAGCCGUGGCAACACAAAAGGUAACUUCUGCAAAACCCUCCUUUGCCGGAAUCCUGCCUUGGGCCCCAUUGUUCCGGUCUAGAGCCAUUCACAUUGCUCCCAGAUGGGGUGAUUUGCGGUGACUAUUUCUCUGAAUUACACGGGACCAAGGAAACGUGACCAGGCUCAAGAUUUCUGGACACAGAGACACUGAGGACAGAGCUGGUUCCAUCAGAGCCCAGGUCAGGCUGGCGGCAAGCACGGUGGCAACCCCCCAUUCUUGUUAGAAGUGUGUUAAACUGUAAACAUGGAGGAUGUCUCCUCCCUCCUUCCCCUCCUUGAAGACAGCUCUAGGAAGCACAGACUACCACGGAAAAGAUGAGGCCAUCAACUGUACUCCAGACCAUAUUUUCUAGCCCAUCUCCCUUGAAGUUUGAUGGGGUCUUGUGACUGCGGAAACACUUUGAGGCUUGGCCCCCAAAACCUUCCUUGGGAUUUUCUCUUCUCUCAUCUGACAACAGGAUGCCACUACCUGGGAUUACAUUGGAAAUCUCUUGUUGAAGAGGACAGGCCUUUUGUCAGCUGGAUUUCUGAAUGAUUCCUAGAUACCAAAAACUAGACUUCAUGAGUGAAAAGUGCAUUCUAUUUCAGAUACAGGUUAGACUACGAAGGUGUAAAGGUUUAUCUGUUUCAGAGUUUGGCAUUACCAUAUCUAAUAAUAAAAUCCUUUAUGA
RNAcentral lists this long non-coding RNA (1565 nucleotides) under Sus scrofa (pig). Its description in RNAcentral is "lncRNA (ENSSSCG00015074812.1)". The record is from RNAcentral. Lineage: Eukaryota; Metazoa; Chordata; Mammalia; Artiodactyla; Suidae.